This 500-nucleotide ribosomal RNA is filed under the name uncultured bacterium. RNAcentral describes it as "partial 16S ribosomal RNA". It matches the Rfam family "Bacterial small subunit ribosomal RNA", at positions 28 to 523 of the family's 1533-position model. The record is from RNAcentral.
GAUGAACGCUAGCGGCAGGCCUAAUACAUGCAAGUCGAACGGUAACAUGAGUAGCAAUACUUGAUGACGAGUGGCGCACGGGUGCGUAACGCGUAUGCAAUCUACCUUUAACCGGUGAAUAGCCCGAAGUAAUUCGGAUUAAUACACCAUAGUAUAAUGAGCUGGCAUCAGUUUAUCAUUAAAGCUCCGGCAGGUAAAGAUGAGCAUGCGUGACAUUAGCUAGUUGAUGAGGUAACGGCUCACCAAGGCGACGAUGUCUAGGGGAUCUGAGAGGAUUAACCCCCACACUUGUACUGAGACACGGACCAGACUCCUACGGGAGGCAGCAGUAAGGAAUAUUGGACAAUGGUGGCAACACUGAUCCAGCCAUGCCGCGUGCAGGAUGACUGCCCUAUGGGUUGUAAACUGCUUUUGUACGGGAAAAAACCUCUUUACGUGUAAAGAGCUGAUUGUACUGUAAGAAUAAGGAUCGGCUAACUCCGUGCCAGCCGCCGCAGUAA